CCCCUUAUAUGCUGGGCUACACACGUGCUACAAUGGGUAGAACAGAGAGUCGCAAAGCUGUGAAGUGGAGCUAAUCUCAGAAAACUAUUCUUAGUUCGGAUUGUACUCUGCAACUCGAGUACAUGAAGUUGGAAUCGCUAGUAAUCGCGAAUCAGCAAUGUCGCGGUGAAUACGUUCUCGGGUCUUGUACACACCGCCCGUCACACCACGAGAGUUGGUUGCACCUGAAGUAGCAGGCCUAACCGUAAGGAGGGAUGCUCCGAGGGUGUGAUUAGCGAUUGGGGUGAAGUCGUAACAAGGUAUCCGUACGGGAACGUGCGGAUGGAUCACCUCCUUUCUAAGGAGUAUAAGUCUUUCUCUAUUCUAUUGGUAAUGUUCUUUACAUUACUUCUGAACAUUGGAAACUAUAUAGUAGAACAAACAAGAAAAAAAUUAACUCUAACAAUUUCUUAGAGUUAGCUGUCAAAAAAUAGGUUAAAAUAAUUAAGGGCACACAAAGGAUGCCUAGGUAGUAAGAGCCGAUGAAGGACGUGGUAAGCUGCGAUAAGCCUAG
This 553-nucleotide small RNA is filed under the name uncultured Fusobacterium sp. RNAcentral describes it as "bacterial SSU rRNA". The stretch from base 1 to 337 matches the Rfam family "Bacterial small subunit ribosomal RNA", at positions 1198 to 1533 of the family's 1533-position model. Lineage: Bacteria; Fusobacteriati; Fusobacteriota; Fusobacteriia; Fusobacteriales; Fusobacteriaceae. The record is from RNAcentral.